AUCAUGUUUCAAUGCACGUGAGAAUUCAAUCAAAGAACUCUGGUUGUUUUCCAGAAUUGGCUCUCUCUUAAAGGUCAAAAC
This 81-nucleotide long non-coding RNA is filed under the name Octodon degus (degu). RNAcentral's name for it is "Deleted in lymphocytic leukemia 2 conserved region 5 (ENSODEG00000022331.1)". It matches the Rfam family "Deleted in lymphocytic leukemia 2 conserved region 5". Lineage: Eukaryota; Metazoa; Chordata; Mammalia; Rodentia; Octodontidae. The record is from RNAcentral.